UUAGCAUAUCAAUAAGCGGAGGAAAAGAAGACAACAGGGAUUGCCCUAGUAACGGCGAGUGAAGCGGCAACAGCUCAAAUUUGAAAUCUGGCUCUUUCAGAGUCCGAGUUGUAAUUUGCAGAGGGCGCUUUGGCUUUGGCAGCGGUCCAAGUUCCUUGGAACAGGACGUCACAGAGGGUGAGAAUCCCGUACGUGGUCGCUAGCUAUUGCCGUGUAAAGCCCCUUCGACGAGUCGAGUUGUUUGGGAAUGCAGCUCUAAAUGGGAGGUAAAUUUCUUCUAAAGCUAAAUAUUGGCCAGAGACCGAUAGCGCACAAGUAGAGUGAUCGAAAGAUGAAAAGCACUUUGGAAAGAGAGUCAAACAGCACGUGAAAUUGUUGAAAGGGAAGCGCUUGCAGCCAGACUUGCUUGCAGUUGCUCAUCCGGGCUUUUGCCCGGUGCACUCUUCUGCAGGCAGGCCAGCAUCAGUUUGGGCGGUGGGAUAAAGGUCUCUGUCACGUACCAUCCUUCGGGAUGGCCAUAUAGGGGAGACGUCAUACCACCAGCCUGGACUGAGGUCCGCGCAUCUGCUAGGAUGCUGGCGUAAUGGCUGUAAGCGGCCCGUCUUGAAACACGGACCAAGGAGUCUAACAUCUAUGCGAGUGUUUGGGUGUCAAGCCCGAGCGCGUAAUGAAAGUGAACGGAGGUGGGAACCCGCAAGGGUGCACCAUCGACCGAUCCUGAAGUUUACGGAAGGAUUUGAGUAAGAGCAUGGCUGUUGGGACCCGAAAGAUGGUGAACUAUGCUUGAAUAGGGUGAAGCCAGAGGAAACUCUGGUGGAGGCUCGCAGCGGUUCUGACGUGCAAAUCGAUCGUCAAAUUUGGGCAUAGGGGCGAAAGACUAAUCGAACUAUCUAGUAGCUGGUUCCUG
Molecule: ribosomal RNA, 907 nt
Filed under: Curvularia hawaiiensis
Lineage: Eukaryota; Fungi; Ascomycota; Dothideomycetes; Pleosporales; Pleosporaceae
Description: LSU rRNA
Rfam family: Eukaryotic large subunit ribosomal RNA
Source: RNAcentral